AUCCGGCCGACGAGUCCCAAACAGAACGAAACGUGCGUCCUGGAU
This 45-nucleotide non-coding RNA is filed under the name Schistosoma haematobium. Lineage: Eukaryota; Metazoa; Platyhelminthes; Trematoda; Strigeidida; Schistosomatidae. The record is from RNAcentral.